GGCGACGUAGCCAAGCGGUAAGGCAGAGGUCUGCAAAACCUUUAUUCGCCGGUUCGAGUCCGGCCGUCGCCU
RNAcentral lists this transfer RNA (72 nucleotides) under Anaerolineae bacterium. Its description in RNAcentral is "tRNA-Cys". It matches the Rfam family "tRNA". Rfam says of the family: Transfer RNA (tRNA) molecules are approximately 80 nucleotides in length. Their secondary structure includes four short double-helical elements and three loops (D, anti-codon, and T loops). Further hydrogen bonds mediate the characteristic L-shaped molecular structure. tRNAs have two regions of fundamental functional importance: the anti-codon, which is responsible for specific mRNA codon recognition, and the 3' end, to which the tRNAs corresponding amino acid is attached (by aminoacyl-tRNA synthetases). tRNAs cope with the degeneracy of the genetic code in two manners: having more than one tRNA (with a specific anti-codon) for a particular amino acid; and 'wobble' base-pairing, i.e. permitting non-standard base-pairing at the 3rd anti-codon position. The record is from RNAcentral. Lineage: Bacteria; Bacillati; Chloroflexota; Anaerolineae.